CCUACGGGUGGCAGCAGUGAGGCAUAUUGGUCAAUGGACGAGAGUCUGAACCAGCCAAGUAGCGUGAAGGAUGACUGCCCUAUGGGUUGUAAACUUCUUUUAUAAAGGAAUAAAACGCGGCACGUGUGCCUUUUUGCAUGUACCUUAUGAAUAAGGAUCGGCUAACUCCGGGCCAGCAGCCGCGGUAAUACGGAGGGUCCGAGCGUUAUCCGGAAUUAUUGGGUUUAAAGGGAGCGUAGGUGGGUUGUUAAGUCAGUUGUGAAAGUUUGCGGCUCAACCGUAAAAGUGCAAUUGAUACUGGCAGGCUGGAGUACAGUAGAGGUAGGCGGAAUUCGUGGUGUAGCGGUGAAAUGCUUAGAUAUCACGAAGAACCCCGAUUGCGAAGGCAGCUUACUAAAGUGAGACUGACAUUGAUGCUCGAAAGUGUGGGUAUCAAACAGGAUUAGAUACCCUAGUAGUC
Molecule: ribosomal RNA, 460 nt
Filed under: uncultured bacterium
Lineage: Bacteria
Description: partial 16S ribosomal RNA
Rfam family: Bacterial small subunit ribosomal RNA
Source: RNAcentral